AUAAAAUUAGGGAUUGCCCCCGUUAGAUCCUGUGCACUGGGGAAAAGAGAGCUUCAAGAACGGAAAUGUCUUGACUUAAGUCGCAGGUCGAGGGCUGCUGUCACUCAGAGUGCUGCCUCUUCAGGGCUGAGCCUCGCUCAACACCUCACAAAGCUCUCUCUUGUAUCAUCUGAGACAGUGACUUUGUGAGGCAGAAAUGGAGAUUUUAUCAAUCGUUUUUGUUGUUUUGAAUAAGUGGAAAAGCUGAGACCCAGAAAAAGCACAGAUGUGAUUUUGAAAUAAAUACUUCACUUCCAAUCAUACGGUUAUUCGUCAAGGUCUGUUUUGUUUCGAAUUCCCUAUGAGCAGAGCCCAAGAGUGGGUCACGUCUGUUGAGGACAUGCUCUGAAACACCGCCCUCCCAGAAGGAGGCAGUCUGAGCAGAAGCACCUGGUUAGCCAAUUCUAGCUUCCAUGUCCAUCAGCUGUGUGCUGGAAGUGGAGAGUGGCGUGGCUUUUUUCUUCCAGAUGUUGGGCAGGUACUUCCAGGUGUGGAGAUUUUACAGCAAGAACUUUAAGGCAAAAGUACUGUCCUUGUACUGUACAUAUCUUUGUGUGUUGUGGGAUGGAAGAGUGAGGCAGAGAAUUGGAGAUCGUUCAACCUUGUCUUGUAUCAGCGGGUGAUGGAGAUGCUAGCAGAAUAGAAGAAUCUUUGAAUGACGGUAUUCCUGGGAUGAACAGGGAUCACCCUGAGAAGGUACUGAGCAUCAUCACCCUUGGAAGGUACUCAGCAGCAUCACCCUGAGAAGAGCUGUGAUGAACUCUGGAACUACUCAGCUCGUCCGGAGCUCUGAGAAGGCCAGGCUGUCCAAGGGGAAGAUGCAUUUGCAGCUCACCUUCGGCUUGAUUGUUUCCCAGCCAGCCGAUUUGCUUUAACAGAGUGGUAAACUCCCCCGGCGAACAAUGGACAGGGAAUGACAGAAAUGCUCAACUGGAUUUGAAGAUACUGUUUAUGAACUUGAGACACAUACACUUCUGUUGUAGUUUCCUGAACUCUAGAUUUGGGGAAUCAGAUUUCUGUGCAUGGUGCUAGGGCCUUUCGGUAGCCACUUAAACGUGAAUGCAGAGUGUGCCUCCACUAGACACCCAGGCAGCAGACUGUACUGGUUGAGUUGGGGUUGGCACCUGUUAGUAUAGCUCUUGGGCUCUUCUGGUGGCAGCUGAGAAGUGCCCUGGGAGAAGCCCCAUUAAGACCCAUCUGAAA
Long non-coding RNA from Chionomys nivalis (European snow vole), 1242 nucleotides. RefSeq lists it as uncharacterized. NCBI's taxonomy places the organism in Eukaryota, Metazoa, Chordata, Mammalia, Rodentia, Cricetidae. The record is from RefSeq and is a predicted model, not a curated record. The transcript has 6 exons.